This 402-nucleotide ribosomal RNA is filed under the name Haemaphysalis phasiana. Its description in RNAcentral is "partial 16S ribosomal RNA". Lineage: Eukaryota; Metazoa; Arthropoda; Arachnida; Ixodida; Ixodidae. The record is from RNAcentral.
UAUUUUGACUAUACAAAGGUAUUGUAAUAAGAUUUUAAUUGAAUGCUAAGAGAAUGGAUUCACAAAAAAAAUCUUUUUUAAAUUUAAAAAUUUAAGUUAUUUUUAUUUGUGAAGAAACAAUAAUAAAAAUUAAAGACAAGAAGACCCUAUGAAUUUUCAUAACAUUUAAAAAAGAUUUUUUAUAAAGGUUAUUUAAUUGGGGCGAUUAAAAAAGAUUAUAAACUUUUUGAACUUAAAUAUGACCCAUUAAUAGUGAUUAUAUGCAAAAAAUACUCUAGGGAUAACAGCGUAAUAAUUUUAGAUAGAUCUUAUAGAAAAAAUAGUUUGCGACCUCGAUGUUGGAUUAGGAUACUUUUUUAAUGAAGAAGUUAAAAUAAGAAGUUUGUUCAACUUUUAAAAUCC